GCUCCCUCCCUGUUUCUUGUGCACUUGCACACGGGCAGGACAUGGGGAGUCAGAGAGUCUUUGAAAUGUCAGUAGCAGCCGAAAACAUGUGUGCUAUCAGCAUUGUUCUCGUACCAAACCCAGUGCUGAAUCUAAAACACAGCACUAUUCUAGACCCUGAAAAGGAUUAU
Long non-coding RNA from Tyto alba (common barn owl), 170 nucleotides. RefSeq lists it as uncharacterized. The record is from RefSeq and is a predicted model, not a curated record. The transcript has 3 exons. Lineage: Eukaryota; Metazoa; Chordata; Aves; Strigiformes; Tytonidae.